This 462-nucleotide ribosomal RNA is filed under the name uncultured bacterium. RNAcentral's name for it is "partial 16S ribosomal RNA". It matches the Rfam family "Bacterial small subunit ribosomal RNA", at positions 338 to 795 of the family's 1533-position model. The record is from RNAcentral.
CCUACGGGUGGCAGCAGUGAGGAAUAUUGGUCAAUGGCCGGGAGGCUGAACCAGCCAAGUCGCGUGAGGGAAGACGGCCCUACGGGUUGUAAACCUCUUUUGUCAGGGAGCAAGGUACAGGUCGGGACCUGCUGUGAGAGUACCUGACGAACAAGCAUCGGCUAACUCCGUGCCAGCAGCCGCGGUCAUACGUAGGAUCCGAGCAUUAUCCGGAGUGACUGGGUGUAAAGAGUUGCGUAGGUGUCAUAAUAAGUAGCUAGUGAAAUCUGGUGGCUCAACCAUUCAGACUAUUAGCUAAACUGUUAAGCUCGAGAGCGUUAGGAGUAACUGGAAUGUCUAGUGUAGGAGUGAAAUCCGUAGAUAUUAGAAGGAACACCAAUAGCGUAGGCAGGUUACUGGGACGGAUCUGACACUAAGGCACGAAAGCGUAGGGAGCAAACGGGAUUAGAUACCCUAGUAGUC